This 497-nucleotide ribosomal RNA is filed under the name uncultured bacterium. RNAcentral describes it as "partial 16S ribosomal RNA". It matches the Rfam family "Bacterial small subunit ribosomal RNA", at positions 28 to 507 of the family's 1533-position model. The record is from RNAcentral.
GAUGAACGCUGGCGGCGUGCCUAAUACAUGCAAGUCGAGCGAACAGACGAGGAGCUUGCUCCUCUGACGUUAGCGGCGGACGGGUGAGUAACACGUGGAUAACCUACCUAUAAGACUGGGAUAACUUCGGGAAACCGGAGCUAAUACCGGAUAAUAUAUUGAACCGCAUGGUUCAAUAGUGAAAGACGGUUUUGCUGUCACUUAUAGAUGGAUCCGCGCCGCAUUAGCUAGUUGGUAAGGUAACGGCUUACCAAGGCAACGAUGCGUAGCCGACCUGAGAGGGUGAUCGGCCACACUGGAACUGAGACACGGUCCAGACUCCUACGGGAGGCAGCAGUAGGGAAUAUUCCGCAAUGGGCGAAAGCCUGACGGAGCAACGCCGCGUGAGUGAUGAAGGUCUUCGGAUCGUAAAACUCUGUUAUUAGGGAAGAACAAAUGUGUAAGUAACUAUGCCCGUCUUGACGGUACCUAAUCAGAAAGCCACGGCUAACUACGUG